RNAcentral lists this transfer RNA (74 nucleotides) under Gemmatimonadota bacterium. Its description in RNAcentral is "Gemmatimonadetes bacterium tRNA-His". It matches the Rfam family "tRNA". Rfam says of the family: Transfer RNA (tRNA) molecules are approximately 80 nucleotides in length. Their secondary structure includes four short double-helical elements and three loops (D, anti-codon, and T loops). Further hydrogen bonds mediate the characteristic L-shaped molecular structure. tRNAs have two regions of fundamental functional importance: the anti-codon, which is responsible for specific mRNA codon recognition, and the 3' end, to which the tRNAs corresponding amino acid is attached (by aminoacyl-tRNA synthetases). tRNAs cope with the degeneracy of the genetic code in two manners: having more than one tRNA (with a specific anti-codon) for a particular amino acid; and 'wobble' base-pairing, i.e. permitting non-standard base-pairing at the 3rd anti-codon position. RNAcentral also lists the same sequence under 1 other name. The record is from RNAcentral. Lineage: Bacteria; Pseudomonadati; Gemmatimonadota.
GUGGGCGUAGCUCAGUCGGUUAGAGCGCCGGAUUGUGGUUCCGGAGGUCGCCGGUUCGAAUCCGGUCGUCCACC